UGCCAGCCGCCGCGGUAAUACGAGGGCCCCAAGCGUUAUCCGGAAUCACUGGGCGUAAAGGGUGCGUAGGCGGCUUGAUUAGUCGCGUGUGAAAGACCCCGGCUCAACCGGGGGAACGCAUGCGAAACGGUCAAGCUAGAGGAUGAGAGAGGCAUAGGGAACUCAUGGUGUAGGGGUGAAAUCCGUUGAUAUCAUGGGGAACACCAAAAGCGAAGGCACUAUGCUGGCUCAUUCCUGACGCUGAGGCACGAAACCCUGGGUAGCGAAAGGGAUUAGAUA
RNAcentral lists this ribosomal RNA (279 nucleotides) under uncultured bacterium. RNAcentral's name for it is "partial 16S ribosomal RNA". It matches the Rfam family "Bacterial small subunit ribosomal RNA", at positions 506 to 784 of the family's 1533-position model. The record is from RNAcentral.